This 468-nucleotide ribosomal RNA is filed under the name uncultured bacterium. RNAcentral describes it as "partial 16S ribosomal RNA". It matches the Rfam family "Bacterial small subunit ribosomal RNA", at positions 28 to 507 of the family's 1533-position model. The record is from RNAcentral.
GACGAACGCUGGCGGCGUGCUUAACACAUGCAAGUCGAACGGUGAUGCUCCAGCUUGCUGGAGUGGAUCAGUGGCGAACGGGUGAGUAACACGUGAGCAACCUGCCCCAGACUCUGGAAUAAGCGCUGGAAACGGCGUCUAAUACUGGAUACGAAACUGGCCCGCAUGGGCAUGGUUUGGAAAGUUUUUCGGUUUGGGAUGGGCUCGCGGCCUAUCAGCUUGUUGGUGAGGUAAUGGCUCACCAAGGCGACGACGGGUAGCCGGCCUGAGAGGGCGACCGGCCACACUGGGUCUGAGACACGGCCCAGACUCCUACGGGAGGCAGCAGUGGGGAAUAUUGCACAAUGGGCGAAAGCCUGAUGCAGCGACGCCGCGUGAGGGAUGACGGCCUUCGGGUUGUAAACCUCUUUCAGCAGGGAAGAAGCGAAAGUGACGGUACCUGCAGAAGAAGCACCGGCUAACUACGUG